RNAcentral lists this ribosomal RNA (481 nucleotides) under uncultured bacterium. RNAcentral describes it as "bacterial SSU rRNA". It matches the Rfam family "Bacterial small subunit ribosomal RNA", at positions 501 to 985 of the family's 1533-position model. The record is from RNAcentral.
CUACGUGCCAGCAGCCGCGGUAAUACGGAAGGUCCAGGCGUUAUCCGGAUUUAUUGGGUUUAAAGGGAGUGUAGGCGGUCUGUUAAGCGUGUUGUGAAAUUUAGGUGCUCAACAUCUAACUUGCAGCGCGACCUGGCGGACUUGAGUGCACGCAACGUAUGCGGAAUUCAUGGUGUAGCGGUGAAAUGCUUAGAUAUCAUGACGAACUUCGAUUGCGAAGGCAGCGUACGGGAGUGUUACUGACGCUUAAGCUCGAAGGUGCGGGUAUCGAACAGGAUUAGAUACCCUGGUAGUCCGCACGGUAAACGAUGGAUGCCCGCUGUUAGCGCCUGGCGUUAGCGGCUAAGCGAAAGCAUUAAGCAUCCCACCUGGGGAGUACGCCGGCAACGGUGAAACUCAAAGGAAUUGACGGGGGCCCGCACAAGCGGAGGAACAUGUGGUUUAAUUCGAUGAUACGCGAGGAACCUUACCCGGGCUUGAA